This 649-nucleotide ribosomal RNA is filed under the name uncultured bacterium. Its description in RNAcentral is "partial 16S ribosomal RNA". It matches the Rfam family "Bacterial small subunit ribosomal RNA", at positions 663 to 1308 of the family's 1533-position model. The record is from RNAcentral.
GGAAUUCNUAGUGUAGCGGUGAAAUGCGUAGAUAUUAGGAAGAACACCAGUGGCGAAGGCGACUUUCUGGACGAAAAUUGACGCUGAGGCGCGAAAGCCAGGGGAGCGAACGGGAUUAGAUACCCCGGUAGUCCUGGCCGUAAACGAUGGNUACUAGGUGUAGGAGGUAUCGACCCCUUCUGUGCCGGAGUUAACGCAAUNAAGUACCCCGCCUGGGGAGUACGACCGCAAGGUUGAAACUCAAAGGAAUUGACGGGGGCCCGCACAAGCGGUGGAGUAUGUGGUUUAAUUCGACGCAACGCGAAGAACCUUACCAGGUCUUGACAUUGAUGGACAGAACCAGAGAUGGUUCCUCUUCUUCGGAAGCCAGAAAACAGGUGGUGCACGGUUGUCGUCAGCUCGUGUCGUGAGAUGUUGGGUUAANNNNNNNNAANNAGCGCAACCCCUAUCUUAUGUUGCCAGCACUUCGGGUGGGAACUCAUGAGAGACUGCCGCAGACAAUGCGGAGGAAGGCGGGGAUGACGUCAAAUCAUCAUGCCCCUUAUGACCUGGGCUACACACGUACUACAAUGGGAGUUAAUAGACGGAAGCGAAACCGCGAGGUGGAGCAAACCCGAGAAACACUCUCUCAGUUCGGAUCGUAGGCUGC